Papaver somniferum (opium poppy) is the source of this 1074-nucleotide long non-coding RNA. RefSeq lists it as uncharacterized. The transcript has 3 exons. The record is from RefSeq and is a predicted model, not a curated record. NCBI's taxonomy places the organism in Eukaryota, Viridiplantae, Streptophyta, Magnoliopsida, Ranunculales, Papaveraceae.
CAAAUUCUUCUGAUGCACAACUUAAGGUUUUGUUAAUUCUGUAUCUUCUUCGUGAUUAAUUUGUUUUUGAUAUAACUUUCUUCUAUGUUACUGAUAAUUUUUCUUAUUUGACGUUAAUUGAUAUGAACUUGCCGCAAUAUUUAAGAAGAUUGGAGACAAGCAGACCUGCACUACUGGUUUGUAUGGAUUAUACCGAAUUACUCGACUAUACCCCAUCGUACACUACAGGAGUUACACUGGGUCAUCACUGGCAGGCUGCUGGCUUAAGCUGUUUUUUAUCUUUUUGAUCAUUGGAAAUUUUGUAGCUUAAUUCUCACUUUUUGAGACCAUGCCAGGUUUUGAUAUAAUUUCCCAACUUCAGAAUGCGAGCAAUGCAUUCCGAACAUACAUAGAAGAAGGGUUAGCUGAGAUAGAAACGAAUGUUGCUGCCGGAAAAAUACUUUCAAGUGUACCAAUGUCAAUGCCUCCUCCAGUUGCCUUAAAUCUUAUUAGUUUUGAUUAAAUUCAAUUCAAUGAAGCACUGGACAUAGGUAAGAGCUGUGAUUAAAUUCAAUUCAAUUGGUAUGAUGGAGAAUGUGCCUGUGGUGGCUAGUGAUGAUUCUGUGGUCGAAUGGAUUAAAUGAGUCUGUGGGGCUGUUUUAUGCCGAGAGUUCAGUGAAGAAUAAUUGUUUGCUGCUCGACUUUGGUGUGAGGUAUUGAUGACGGUAACUGGUGGCUGAUAGAGAAAACACAUAACGGAGUUCAUUGAUGACUUUGUUUGCUGACAGAGUUUGAUUUUACUGCCACUAUUAUUUGAACGGGAGAUGAUCUCACUGCUAUAAUUGGUGCGAGGACGCAAGACAUCAGUAUUUGAUGCGACCAAUAUGUUAAGAGACCCGCAUAACAAAGUAAUUCAUAUCGUCUCACAUGCUUUAAGAACUUAAUGAUGUACAUAUUGUACUAUGCUCGAUGAUUUUUACAUAACAACAAGGAAAGACCUCCAUGUGCAAGGAAAUAAACGUUGGGUUGGUUGAGAGCAAGGGAUGUUUUAAUCUGACUUGCAAUGGAUGCCACCAAAAAAUCUAUGCAGAAAGA